RNAcentral lists this ribosomal RNA (642 nucleotides) under Bacillus subtilis. RNAcentral's name for it is "bacterial SSU rRNA". It matches the Rfam family "Bacterial small subunit ribosomal RNA", at positions 710 to 1352 of the family's 1533-position model. Lineage: Bacteria; Bacillati; Bacillota; Bacilli; Caryophanales; Bacillaceae. The record is from RNAcentral.
CAGUGGCGAAGGCGACUCUCUGGUCUGUAACUGACGCUGAGGAGCGAAAGCGUGGGGAGCGAACAGGAUUAGAUACCCUGGUAGUCCACGCCGUAAACGAUGAGUGCUAAGUGUUAGGGGGUUUCCGCCCCUUAGUGCUGCAGCUAACGCAUUAAGCACUCCGCCUGGGGAGUACGGUCGCAAGACUGAAACUCAAAGGAAUUGACGGGGGCCCGCACAAGCGGUGGAGCAUGUGGUUUAAUUCGAAGCAACGCGAAGAACCUUACCAGGUCUUGACAUCCUCUGACAAUCCUAGAGAUAGGACGUCCCCUUCGGGGGCAGAGUGACAGGUGGUGCAUGGUUGUCGUCAGCUCGUGUCGUGAGAUGUUGGGUUAAGUCCCGCAACGAGCGCAACCCUUGAUCUUAGUUGCCAGCAUUCAGUUGGGCACUCUAAGGUGACUGCCGGUGACAAACCGGAGGAAGGUGGGGAUGACGUCAAAUCAUCAUGCCCCUUAUGACCUGGGCUACACACGUGCUACAAUGGACAGAACAAAGGGCAGCGAAACCGCGAGGUUAAGCCAAUCCCACAAAUCUGUUCUCAGUUCGGAUCGCAGUCUGCAACUCGAUUGCGUGAAGCUGGAAUCGCUAGUAAUCGCGGAUCAG